RNAcentral lists this ribosomal RNA (730 nucleotides) under uncultured bacterium. Its description in RNAcentral is "bacterial SSU rRNA". It matches the Rfam family "Bacterial small subunit ribosomal RNA", at positions 771 to 1501 of the family's 1533-position model. The record is from RNAcentral.
AACAGGAUUAGAUACCCUGGUAGUCCACGCUGUAAACGAUGUCGACUUGGAGGUUGUUCCCUUGAGGAGUGGCUUCCGGAGCUAACGCGUUAAGUCGACCGCCUGGGGAGUACGGCCGCAAGGUUAAAACUCAAAUGAAUUGACGGGGGCCCGCACAAGCGGUGGAGCAUGUGGUUUAAUUCGAUGCAACGCGAAGAACCUUACCUACUCUUGACAUCCAGAGAACUUAGCAGAGAUGCUUUGGUGCCUUCGGGAACUCUGAGACAGGUGCCGCAUGGCUGUCGUCAGCUCGUGUUGUGAAAUGUUGGGUUAAGUCCCGCAACGAGCGCAACCCUUAUCCUUUGUUGCCAGCGGUUCGGCCGGGAACUCAAAGGAGACUGCCAGUGAUAAACUGGAGGAAGGUGGGGAUGACGUCAAGUCAUCAUGGCCCUUACGAGUAGGGCUACACACGUGCUACAAUGGCAUAUACAAAGAGAAGCGACCUCGCGAGAGCAAGCGGACCUCAUAAAGUAUGUCGUAGUCCGGAUCGGAGUCUGCAACUCGACUCCGUGAAGUCGGAAUCGCUAGUAAUCGUGGAUCAGAAUGCCACGGUGAAUACGUUCCCGGGCCUUGUACACACCGCCCGUCACACCAUGGGAGUGGGUUGCAAAAGAAGUAGGUAGCUUAACCUUCGGGAGGGCGCUUACCACUUUGUGAUUCAUGACUGGGGUGAAGUCGUAACAAGGUAACC